RNAcentral lists this ribosomal RNA (267 nucleotides) under uncultured Smithella sp. RNAcentral's name for it is "partial 16S ribosomal RNA". It matches the Rfam family "Bacterial small subunit ribosomal RNA", at positions 1113 to 1382 of the family's 1533-position model. The record is from RNAcentral. Lineage: Bacteria; Pseudomonadati; Thermodesulfobacteriota; Syntrophia; Syntrophales; Smithellaceae.
AAUUGCCAGCAUUCAGUUGGGCACUUUAAAGAGACUGCCGGUGUUAAACCGGAGGAAGGUGGGAUGACGUCAAGUCCUCAUGGCCUUUAUGCUUAGGGCUACACACGUGCUACAAUGGGUGGUACAAAGAGAAGCCAACUCGCGAGAGCGCGCCAAUCUCAAAAAGCCAUCCUCAGUUCGGAUUGGAGUCUGCAACUCGACUCCAUGAAGUUGGAAUCGCUAGUAAUCGCGGAUCAGCAUGCCGCGGUGAAUACGUUCCCGGGCCUU